RNAcentral lists this ribosomal RNA (1379 nucleotides) under Postsubulitermes parviconstrictus. RNAcentral's name for it is "16S ribosomal RNA". The stretch from base 894 to 1262 matches the Rfam family "Bacterial large subunit ribosomal RNA", at positions 2073 to 2647 of the family's 2925-position model. Lineage: Eukaryota; Metazoa; Arthropoda; Insecta; Blattodea; Termitidae. The record is from RNAcentral.
CGAUUCGACAUGGUCUGAUUAUUGUUGAUUAUUUUGUUAUUUGUUGAGUUUGUUUAAAAGUGCUUUAUUGAAGAAUCAUUUUGUUGUUGUAUUAUUUUGAUUUAAUUGUUUUUACUAUAGGUUAUUUGUACUGUGAGGGGUUAUGUUUUGAUAUUUUUUUAAAAGCUGAUUUUGUUUGUUGUACCUUGUGUAUCAGGGUUCAUUGAAUUUUAUUAUUUAUUUUUAUUUCCCGAUUUUAAAGGAGUUAAUUGCUUAUGUUAGUUACUGUUUCAUUAGUAUUAAUAAUAGGUGGUUGGUAGUGAAAUGUUAUUCGUCUUUAGUGGUUUCUGGUUUUUCAAGAAAUGAAUUUAAUUCAUACAUCUUAUUUAAUUUCUGUUGUUUUUUAGUUUCUUUUAUUUGAUGUUAAGAUUUAGGGGGAUUAGCUCCUUUUUUUAUUUUUAUAAUUUAUUUAGUUUAUUUAGUUUUGUGGAUUUUAUAGUGAUUUUCUAUUUGAUUAUGUUAAAAUUUUAUUUAUUCUUUUUUUGAUUUAUUUCUAUUUAAUUUAUUUAUUGAAGUGUUUUUGUUAUCUUGGAUUUAUAAUGGUAAUGAUUGUGUAAUUAGUAAAUUGUUUAUUUUAUUUUAUGGCCUAUAAGGUGUUAAUUACUUUUUAGGAAUUAGGCAAAGCUUUCGUGUCCGCCUGUUUAACAAAAACAUCUUUUCUUGUUAGUUUUUGAAGUAUGGCCUGCCCACUGACUAUUAGGUAGAUGAAGGGCCGCGGUAUUUUGACCGUGCAAAGGUAGCAUAAUCAUUAGUUCUUUAAUUGUGAUCUGGUAUGAAUGGCUUGACGAGAUACGAGCUGUCUUAGGGGUAUUGUUUGUUGAAUUUGGUUUUUGAGUUAAAAUUCUUAAAUGUUUUUAUGGGACGAGAAGACCCUAUAGAGUUUGACAUUUUCUUAUUUGUAUUAUUGUUUGUUUAGAAAGUUUUAAGUAGGAGGAAUGUUUUGUUGGGGUGAUGGGAAGAAUAUUUAUUAACUCUUCUUUGUUUUUAUAUAUUUAUGUAUAUUUGUUUUGAUCCAUUUAUUUUGAUUAUAAGAUUAAAUUACCUUAGGGAUAACAGCGUUAUCUUCCUUGAGAGUUCUUAUUGGCGGGGAGGUUUGCGACCUCGAUGUUGGAUUAAGGUUAAUUUUUGGUGCAGGAGCUGAAAUGAUUGGGUCUGUUCGACCUUUAAAAUCUUACAUGAUCUGAGUUCAGACCGGCGUGAGCCAGGUUGGUUUCUAUCUAUAAUAUUGUUUUAUAUCUUAGUACGAGAGGACCGGAUAUUUGGAAUAAUUUCUGUUAAUUAUGAUUUUUAUUAAUUUGGUGCUAUUUUGGCAGAUAAGUGCAUUGGAUUUAGAAUCUAUU